This 253-nucleotide ribosomal RNA is filed under the name uncultured bacterium. RNAcentral describes it as "partial 16S ribosomal RNA". It matches the Rfam family "Bacterial small subunit ribosomal RNA", at positions 524 to 776 of the family's 1533-position model. The record is from RNAcentral.
UACAGAGGGUGCAAGCGUUAAUCGGAGUUACUGGGCGUAAAGGGUGCGUAGGUGGUUGAUUAAGUUAGAUGUGAAAUCCCUGGGCUUAACCUAGGAACUGCAUCUAAUACUGGUUGACUAGAGUAUUGUAGAGGGUAGUGGAAUUUCCGGUGUAGCGGUGAAAUGCGUAGAGAUCGGAAGGAACACCAGUGGCGAAGGCGGCUACCUGGACAAAUACUGACACUGAGGCACGAGAGCGUGGGGAGCAAACAGG